GUUUAAAUAAUAUGUUUAAUAAAAUAAUGCAGUGUACGAUUCUUAAGGAAGCAUUUAUACUAAAAUGAGGUCACUAACCUCGUCUGGGCUUCCAGACUGCUGUGUUUGCCAAGCUUCCAAUUGCCUUUCAAGCUCCUUUCUCAACUCUUCCGGAUCUCUAACAAUGUGCUGGGAAGCAUCCAUCAGAAACUGAUGGGCUGUAUGGAUGGUAGAGUCCUUGCUUCUCUCUGGCUUCUCUUCUGUCACCUGUGGUAACUUUUCUCUUGCAGAGUCCUUGGCAUCGUCAGAGUCUAAGAUCUGGGUUUUCGACUCCUCUUCACCUGGUCCAGAAGUUUUAGAGGCAGUAGACUUUGUUUCUGGCUUCAGCUCCUCUAUGUCCACUGCUUGGAGAUCCUCGUUCUGCAUUUCUGUUUCCAUAGCUGUAUCUUCAGGUUCUCCCUCUUCAUUUUCUUCGAGAGGCAUAAUAGGUUUCUCCUGCUCCUUGCUAGCUACGUCAUAGGUCUGUGCAUCAUAGCAUUCAGA
This 522-nucleotide long non-coding RNA is filed under the name Gallus gallus (chicken). The record is from RNAcentral. Lineage: Eukaryota; Metazoa; Chordata; Aves; Galliformes; Phasianidae.